This 491-nucleotide ribosomal RNA is filed under the name uncultured bacterium. RNAcentral's name for it is "partial 16S ribosomal RNA". It matches the Rfam family "Bacterial small subunit ribosomal RNA", at positions 29 to 507 of the family's 1533-position model. The record is from RNAcentral.
GUGAACGCUGGCGGUAGGCCUAACCCCUGCAAGUCGAACGGCAGCACAGUAAGAGCUUGCUCCUACGGGUGGCGAGUGGCGGACGGGUGAGGAAUACAUCGGAAUCUACUUUUUCGUGGGGGAUAACGUAGGGAAACUUACGCUAAUACCGCAUACAACCUACGGGUGAAAGCAGGGGAUCUUCGGACCUUGCGCGAUUGAAUGAGCCGAUGUCGGAUUAGCUAGUUGGCGGGGUAAAGGCCCACCAAGGCGACGAUCCGUAGCUGGUCUGAGAGGAUGAUCAGCCACACUGGAACUGAGACACGGUCCAGACUCCUACGGGAGGCAGCAGUGGGGAAUAUUGGACAAUGGGCGCAAGCCUGAUCCAGCCAUACCGCGUGGGUGAAGAAGGCCUUCGGGUUGUAAAGCCCUUUUGUUGGGAAAGAAAAGCAGCAGGUUAAUACCCCGCUGUUCUGACGGUACCCAAAGAAUAAGCACCGGCUAACUUCGUG